Molecule: long non-coding RNA, 1495 nt
Organism: Triticum urartu
Lineage: Eukaryota; Viridiplantae; Streptophyta; Magnoliopsida; Poales; Poaceae
Source: RefSeq, a predicted model, not a curated record
CCCGUGCAAAAUAUCCCCAACUCCACAACCCUAACCCGUGCCUGCCGCCGCUGCCGACCUCGUGCUCGAUCCCCAGUCCUGCCGCCGGCCUCGCGCUCCACCCCGUCGUCAAGCCAUCGUCUCAGAGCUCGCACUCCGUCGCCGCCGAGCUCCACCCCGACAUCCACCCAUCCUUGCACUCCGCCCCCCCUCCCCUCGAGCUCCAUCCCAAGAUCGAGCAUUCGUCCUCGCGAUCCACAUCCAACCGUCGUCCUCUCCCCUCCCCUGACAUCCAGCCGUCGUCCUUGCCAAUCCCCGUCCCUGCUAUUGCUGGGCUCCAUCUCUGGGCUCCCGCAGCUGCCGCACCUGCUUUUGUCGAGACUCCAUAUCCGAGCUCACGCUGCUGCCAGAUCUGCUUCUACUGGACCUGCUGCUGUCGGGGCUGCAUCUUCUGUGCCGCACCCCUCCCGAAGCCAGUCAUGCCCUGAGAUUGCUCCGUCCCUGAUACACUUGAUGAAAUUGUUCCAACACCAAGGGGAAGAGCUCUUUGUUCCUACAUAUUUUCCUAGAUUCAAUGGUUUAGUUGUGAAUAUAUGUUUGAGGAAAUCCAUAUACGUGAAUAGCAAGUGACUAUAUAUGUUAAGGGAGUUAAUUGUUUCAUAUCGGUCAUGUUACUUGUGAUGCCAGAUUGUGCAGUUUGUUUUGUGUAAAAAUACUCCACCCCCAUGUCCUCCUUUUAAUCACUCCCCUUAUACUUUUCUCUGAUCCAGACUUUGUCAUUGAUAACAUUUUUUGGCAGUACUUAGGUGAAACUGCAGAACUAAGAUGGAAGGAAAGGGGCAAUAUGACCAGACUCAAUGAAAUACAUCCAGAUGGUGUGUGAAGGAGUUGUGUAAAUGCAACUUUUGCUGCACUGGUCUUGUGUAAAUGAGUUGCUCACUUUUGCUUCCACGCGCAUAUUCAUGCAAAAUUUUGUAGUCACAGCCUGGAACAAUGACCACCAGCAUGCAGCAUGGGCAAUGGGCGGAGAAUGGGUGGCUACCUCGCUGGGAACCAUGGUUGCGCACGUGCAGCAGAAAGUGAAAUAGUGGAUGGAAAGGCCACCUCACUGGGAACCAGGGCCACGACUUGUAGUGGGCAAUUGGUGGUGAAUGGAAGGCUACCUGGCCGGAUACCUCAACUACUAGGCACUUAGCCACCUGGUGCACAUGGACGUCAUGACUUUGCAGCGUUUAUGGACCAACCAACUUGUAAUCAUGGAUCUGAUGUGUCUUCUAGACCAUUUGGUGCUUCGGGUAUUUCGGAGCUUGCACUUUGUGCAUGUGGAUACAAACUUCUAUGUCCUGGACCAUUUAGUUGAAGUCUCUCAUACCAGCAAAUAGUGAUCAACUUUUUGUGACUCGUGUAUUCUGGGUGAUUGUUAAGAUGGUGAAAACUAUGAUGUGUCAAGAUUGAUGUGUUUGUCAACUUGUGUAUAAUGUAUAUGCAUGUUUGUGAACAUAUUUUCAUUGUUGUA